RNAcentral lists this ribosomal RNA (515 nucleotides) under uncultured bacterium. RNAcentral's name for it is "partial 16S ribosomal RNA". It matches the Rfam family "Bacterial small subunit ribosomal RNA", at positions 28 to 523 of the family's 1533-position model. The record is from RNAcentral.
GAUGAACGCUGGCGGCGUGCCUAAUACAUGCAAGUCGAGCGAAUGGAUUAAGAGCUUGCUCUUAUGAAGUUAGCGGCGGACGGGUGAGUAACACGUGGGUAACCUGCCCAUAAGACUGGGAUAACUCCGGGAAACCGGGGCUAAUACCGGAUAACAUUUUGAACCGCAUGGUUCAAAAUUGAAAGGCGGCUUCGGCUGUCACUUAUGGAUGGACCCGCGUCGCAUUAGCUAGUUGGUGAGGUAACGGCUCACCAAAGCAACGAUGCGUAGCCGACCUGAGAGGGUGAUCGGCCACACUGGGACUGAGACACGGCCCAGACUCCUACGGGAGGCAGCAGUAGGGAAUCUUCCGCAAUGGACGAAAGUCUGACGGAGCAACGCCGCGUGAGUGAUGAAGGCUUUCGGGUCGUAAAACUCUGUUGUUAGGGAAGAACAAGUGCUAGUUGAAUAAGCUGACACCUUGACGGUACCUAACCAGAAAGCCACGGCUAACUACGUGCCAGCCGCCGCCGUAA